AUGAAUGGGGCUCCCCUCCCCCCACGGGGAUCCCGCGGCGGCGCAGGUCCGUCCAGUCAGCCCCGGGUUGGGCAGACAAAGGGGCACCGGGGGACAAAUCGAGCGCUUCCUCAAACUUGCCGGCCGCCACCCCUCCCCGAAACAAAGGAGCCCCCCCCAGCCUCCGCCCGCCCCCAACGCGCCGGCACUCUGGGGAGCAGCCAAAACGGGGUAUUGUGCAGCCUGCAGGGAGCGCGCCGCACCCCAGCCCAAGCCCGGGAGACACUGGGGGACCUGCCCCUCCAGAGCCCCGGAGGCGGGCGGAGCGUGCGGGAGCCCCGGGCCGCCGGCCUGACCCCGGAGGGAGGGAACCGCUGGCCCCCACGCGGGACAAGUUCGCGCCACCCCGCCCCACCCCACCCCGCGCCCGGCCGGCCACCCGGCCGGCCGAGCCCCACACACUCACCUCGCCGCGAGCAGCGCAACUUGCGGCGGCGCCGCCGCCCCGAACCUCCCUCCAGCCGGCCGUCUCCGAGCCCGGGCCGUGCCGCGGCCGAGGAGGGCCCGGCGCCCGGAGCAGCCGCGCGCCGCCCCCGGGCCGCCCCCGCCCCGCCGCAGCCGAGUCCCCGAGAGGCGCGGGCGCUGGAAAGUUUCGGAUGCCGAAUGGCGGCCGAGGGCGCUGCGGCGGCGGCGGCGGCAGCAGCGGCGGGGCGGGGGCGCUGGCGGCACCUCGCUCCCGAGCGCAGAGAGUGCGGGGGGGGGGCUGGGGCGGGAGCGGUGGCGGCGGCAGAGGGCGGGACGGCGGGAGGGACCGGCAAGGGCAGUGACCUCCGGGGGGAGCGGCCGCCAGCGCGCCGACCCCGGCCGGGAGGACUGCCAGGGAGGCCGCCUCCGCCGCCGGGCCGGCCCCUCCCCCCACGGCCCCCAGCCCGCACCCUCCCCCACCGCCCGGGGACUGGAGCCCGGGUACCCCCCCGAGUCCCCCCACCCACGCCCGGGGGGAGGGGCGCGUCCCAAGCUGGUCCCUCCCCCACGGAGGGUGAGGACGCCAGGCCUGCCCUCCCCCAUAGCCACGAGGGGGAGAGUCCGCCCCCAACACAGCCCCUCCCCCAGGGCUCCAGGGCAGACUCGCGUCCCGGCCCGCCCCGCCCCCAAGGCGGGGUAACCUGCGACCCUCCCCCGUCCCUCACCCCUGACUCUGCUCUCCCCGGCGCGCCCGGAGUGGCUGAAGGGAAUCCGGGUCUCUCUAGUGUAUCCGAACCCCGUCCCUCCCUCGUGGCCUCCAUGCGGGCGGAAGGAGACGCAGGCCUGUGCCCACCCCGUCCCAGGCCCGGACCCAGCCAGCACGGGACAGGAGCCUGGUCACCAGCACCGCGGUUGCCAGGGGAGGGGGGAACCGGGCCACCGCUGUUACCCUCCCCCACCUCCAAGAAGCAGCCGCCCAGCUGCCCUAGCAGAACCCCUGCAACCUGCCUGAGGACGCCGCUCCCUCAAAAUCGGCGGCCAGGAGGGCACCCCAAUGGUCUCCUCCCCUCCCCGGAAAAGUGGGGGCCCAGGGGGAGCCUCGACCUUUGCAAAAUGCCUCCAGCGAAGAGCCGGCAGUGCGUGGGGAGAAAGAAAGUCGGGCCCAACGGGGUGGAGGCUCCCGGCGGGGGCAGGGGGAAGAAGCCGGGCCCUCGGGCCUUCUCACCCCCGCCCCCGCCCGGAGGCGUCGGGCGUCGGGCCCCGGCCAAGUGCUAA
Molecule: long non-coding RNA, 1719 nt
Filed under: Delphinapterus leucas (beluga whale)
Lineage: Eukaryota; Metazoa; Chordata; Mammalia; Artiodactyla; Monodontidae
Description: lncRNA (ENSDLEG00000007919.1)
Source: RNAcentral